AGCUGGGCGGGGCCACUGGAAAGGCCGGCAGGAGCAGGAGGAGGAGAGAAGCGCCAAAAUUCGGGGCCGAGGGUCGGGAUUUGGGUGGAUUUCGGAGCUCUCCCAUCCCCACGUCCCCCUCUGUCCCGCGGGGCUCCGGGCGGCCGUGACCCUGCUGGAGUCCGGGGGGGACCUCCAGCCCCCCGGGGGGUCCCUGCGCCUCCUCUGCCGCGCCUCGGGGUUCACUUUCGGCAGUUUCAACAUGGAUUGGGUCCGCCAGAGACCCGGGCAGGGGCUGGAAUUCAUGGCAGAGAUCCGGGAAAACGGUGCCAGUGCUUGGUACGCGCCGUCGGUCGAGGGCCGGGGGCGACGAUCUCCAGGACAACGGGCAGAGCUCGGUGACGCUGACCAUGAACGGCCUCAAGGACGAGGAUUCCGGCUCCUAUUUCUGUGCCAAAUCCUCCGGUGCCGGCGCCGGGUGUUGUUUCGCUGCUGAUUAUGUUGGCGGUGCCGGAGGUGUCCCCACUCCCACCUUUGUGGGCUGA
This is a non-coding RNA of Vidua macroura (Pin-tailed whydah), 524 nucleotides long. The record is from the annotation of a RefSeq genome assembly. NCBI's taxonomy places the organism in Eukaryota, Metazoa, Chordata, Aves, Passeriformes, Viduidae.